AUUAAUUCAAAGACCUGUGUUGUAAAGGACUUGUGUAUCUCAUAAUUGUGUGUUAAUUUUGCAAAGUCCCUGAGAGGCAUGAUUCUCUGAGCCCUCUGGAUCUCCUCAGGUUUGGUGUUAUCAGUUGUCUCUACAGUCAUUGCAUUGUUGUUACAUACUCCUAUUGCCCCUGGGUAUUAAGAGAUUAGCUGUCUCUGAGCCCUUGUCCAUGUUACUAUUGUCAGUCAAGUUUUCUUUUGUCACCUCCCUAGCCACUGUUUCUGUUGGUUUUCCCAUAUUUUCUUUCUUUUUUAGCAUGUAUUCCUGGCAUAUUUCUGUCAGUAUAGGGAUCUGUGUAAAUGGUGCCUGUUGUCCAGCACUAAGGUGUUCACUGCCUUCUUGUGCAGUAUGAUUCUGGCCUCUGACUUGAUGUAAUUUACUACCUGUCCAAAAGUAAUGAGGGCUACAUAAACCUGAGAGAGAGUUUGCCAGAGAGUUGAAAAUUCUAAUGGUAUCUUGUUCCAAUAGUUAGUCAUAUUGAAAAUGCUUCCUAUAGUGUCAUGUAUCAUGACUGCUAUAGUGUUGUAUAUAAAGCAGCAUCCCCUAUAAUAUAUCAUUAUAGCUCCCAUCAACAUUAUCCAGAACAUUAUCUGAAGCAUUGCUUUUCUUUUCUCAACUAUCCCUGUUCUUGUUUGGUGUUUUCCCUUACUAGAAUCAAGAUGUCUGAUUCUAAGUAACUGCCUCAGUGCUCCUUCUCAAGAUGGCUUCCCUACCCAGGGAACUCCCAACUGUCAACAGAUGGCAGUUGAAAAUGGCUUCUGUCAGACCUCUGGGGUGCCACCUGUAAUAAAGGGGUUUUUUAUGUGCGGAGAGAGGAGAGGGAGAGAAUGGAGUCUUCCCUCCCUCAAGACAAGAGGGAGGAGGAGUUGAUGUUGGUUUUGGACCAAGAGGUAGAAGGAGGACCAUGCUCACUCAAGUGUCCUGGGGGAAUGUGAAGACUGUCCCAUUUUCCAGAUGAGGACAUGGAGCAUCAUGGAUAUUAUCCUCUCUACAAGAUCUCAGAAAACUGAAAAUUGGGAUACCUUCAGACUUCAAAGAAGCUUCCAAGACAAACAGAAGAUAUAUAUUUUCACCAGAAUAUUGAUGCUAAAAAGGUGGUCAUUUGCAACAAGGAGCAGCUUGGGAUCAUUGGAAAGGCUGUACAAUUUCCAGAAUUUAAUCUAG
RNAcentral lists this long non-coding RNA (1203 nucleotides) under Monodelphis domestica (gray short-tailed opossum). RNAcentral describes it as "lncRNA (ENSMODG00000043784.1)". The record is from RNAcentral. Lineage: Eukaryota; Metazoa; Chordata; Mammalia; Didelphimorphia; Didelphidae.